Molecule: ribosomal RNA, 341 nt
Filed under: uncultured Streptococcus sp.
Lineage: Bacteria; Bacillati; Bacillota; Bacilli; Lactobacillales; Streptococcaceae
Description: bacterial SSU rRNA
Rfam family: Bacterial small subunit ribosomal RNA
Source: RNAcentral
GGUGCGUGGUUGUCGUCAGCUCGUGUCGUGAGAUGUUGGGUUAAGUCCCGCAACGAGCGCAACCCCUGUGGUUAGUUGCCAUCAUUCAGUUGGGCACUCUAGCGAGACUGCCGGUAAUAAACCGGAGGAAGGUGGGGAUGACGUCAAAUCAUCAUGCCCCUUAUGACCUGGGCUACACACGUGCUACAAUGGUUGGUACAACGAGUUGCGAGUCGGUGACGGCGAGCUAAUCUCUUAAAGCCAAUCUCAGUUCGGAUUGUAGGCUGCAACUCGCCUACAUGAAGUCGGAAUCGCUAGUAAUCGCGGAUCAGCACGCCGCGGUGAAUACGUUCCCGGGCCUU